GACAGAGGUGCCAAGCGUUAGGCGGAAUCACUGGGCUUAAAGCGUGUGUAGGCGGGCGGGCAAGUACCUUGUGAAAUCCCACGGCUCAACCGUGGAACGGCUGGGUAUACUGCCUGUCUUGAGCCAGCUAGGGGCGACCGGAACAGACGGUGGAGCGGUGAAAUGCGUAGAUAUCGUCUGGAACGCCAAAGGUGAAAACAGGUCGCUGGGGCUGAGCUGACGCUGAGACACGAAAGCCAGGGGAGCGAACAGG
Molecule: ribosomal RNA, 253 nt
Filed under: uncultured bacterium
Lineage: Bacteria
Description: partial 16S ribosomal RNA
Rfam family: Bacterial small subunit ribosomal RNA
Source: RNAcentral